Molecule: ribosomal RNA, 370 nt
Filed under: uncultured Leptolinea sp.
Lineage: Bacteria; Bacillati; Chloroflexota; Anaerolineae; Anaerolineales; Anaerolineaceae
Description: bacterial SSU rRNA
Rfam family: Bacterial small subunit ribosomal RNA
Source: RNAcentral
GAAAGGAGAGAGUGCCUCGCAAGAGGGAGCCUGGAGACAGGUGCUGCAUGGCUGUCGUCAGCUCGUGUCGUGAGAUGUUGGGUUAAGUCCGCUAACGAGCGCAACCCUCGCUGUGUGUUAUAUGUGUCACACGGGACUGCCGGUCUUAAGCCGGAGGAAGGUGGGGAUGAUGUCAAGUCAGCAUGGCCUUUAUAUCCUGGGCUACACACACGCUACAAUGGCCAACACAAUAGGUUGCUAAGCCGCGAGGUGGCGCCAAUCCAUAAAGUUGGUCUCAGUUCAGAUUGUAGGCUGCAACCCGCCUGCAUGAAGAUGGAGUUGCUAGUAACCGCAGGUCAGCUAUACUGCGGUGAAUACGUUCCCGGGGCUU